RNAcentral lists this ribosomal RNA (422 nucleotides) under uncultured Ehrlichia sp. RNAcentral describes it as "bacterial SSU rRNA". It matches the Rfam family "Bacterial small subunit ribosomal RNA", at positions 355 to 794 of the family's 1533-position model. Lineage: Bacteria; Pseudomonadati; Pseudomonadota; Alphaproteobacteria; Rickettsiales; Anaplasmataceae. The record is from RNAcentral.
GUGGGAAUAUUGGACAAUGGGCGAAAGCCUGAUCCAGCAAUACCGCGUGAACGAUGAAGGCCUUCGGGUUGUAAAGUUCUUUUAAUAGGGAAGAUAAUGACGGUACCUAUAGAAUAAGCACCGGCAAACUUCGUGCCAGCAGCCGCGGUAAUACGAAGGGUGCUAGCGUUGUUCGGAAUUAUUGGGCGUAAAGGGUGUGUAGGUGGUUUCGUAAGUUAGUUGUGAAAUCCCGGGGCUCAACCUCGGAAUUGCGGUUAAAACUACGGAACUAGAGCAUGAUAAGCGAUGGCAGAAUUUCUAGUGUAGGGGUAAAAUCCGCAGAUAUUAGAAGGAAUACCGGUGGUGUAGACGGCUAUCUUGGUCAUUACUGACACUAAGACACGAAAGUGUGGGGAGCAAACAGGAUUAGAUACCCUGGUAGU